RNAcentral lists this long non-coding RNA (640 nucleotides) under Ananas comosus (pineapple). RNAcentral describes it as "long non-coding RNA (ACOM_LNC008332)". The record is from RNAcentral. Lineage: Eukaryota; Viridiplantae; Streptophyta; Magnoliopsida; Poales; Bromeliaceae.
AUAUAUUUAAACUUAAAUUUUAUUAUAUAAUAUAAAUUAAUUAAAUUUGAUAUAUUAUUUAUUUUAUUAAGUUUUAUUAUUUAUAUAUUAAUAUUUAAUUAUUUUAUUUUAUAUUAAGUAUUAUAUAUAUAUAUAAAAUUAUUUUUUCAUGCAUUAUAUAUUUUUUUAAAUUUAUAUUAAAAUUUAUACUAUAUUAUUAAUUAAAAUUAUAAGGAUAUCGUUACAUAUAUUAUGAAUAAAUUAUAUAAAAUAAAUUAUUAUUAUUAUAUAUAGUAAAAUAAAUAUACUAUUUUAAAUUAAAUUGUGUUAUAUAAAAUAUUAUAUUAUAAAUUACUAUAAAAAAUAAUUUUAUAAAAUUUUUUAUAAAAUAUACUAAUAUAAAUUAAUUAUUUUAUUUUUAAAAAUAUAUUUUGACAUUGUUCUACAUAUUUUAUCUAAACGCUACUAAAAAUAUCCUCUAAAAAUACCUCCGAAUGCAUUCAAAUAUAAAUUUACAAUUGUUCUAUCUUGUACCAGAAUAUUCCGUAUUCUUAGAAAUAAUAAAAAUUGUUCUCCAAAUUUUAGUUCUCCAACCAAACGCAGCGUGAGAGAAGGGGGAAGUGGUGGCUUGUUCAUACACCUACAUUUUGUGCACCACAGG